Molecule: ribosomal RNA, 520 nt
Filed under: uncultured bacterium
Lineage: Bacteria
Description: partial 16S ribosomal RNA
Source: RNAcentral
GUAGUUAGCCGUGGCUUUCUGGUUAGGUACCGUCAAGGCACGAUCAGUUACUAUCGUACUUGUUCUUCCCUAACAACAGAACUUUACGACCCGAAGGCCUUCUUCCCUCACGCGGCGUUGCUGGGUCAGGCUUGCGCCCAUUGCCCAAUAUUCCCCACUGCUGCCUCCCGUAGGAGUCUGGACCGUGUCUCAGUUCCAGUGUGGCCGAUCAGCCUCUCAGCUCGGCUACCCAUCGCAGGCUUGGUGGGCUGUUAUCUCACCAACUACCUAAUGGGACGCGAACCCCUCCCUCAGCGGAUUGCUCCUUUGACCUCAUCCCGAUGCCGGGUCGUGGUCUUAUGCGGUAUUAGCACUUGUUUCCAGGUGUUAUCCCCCUCUGAAGGUCAGGUUGUUCACGCGUUACUCACCCGUUCGCCACUAAAAUUUAUCUUCCAUCCGAAAACUUCUGAUAAAUCUCCGUUCGACUUGCAUGUGUUAGGCACGCCGCCAGCGUUCGUCCUGAGCCAGGAUCAAACUCUGA